This 848-nucleotide ribosomal RNA is filed under the name Staphylococcus aureus. RNAcentral describes it as "partial 23S ribosomal RNA". It matches the Rfam family "Bacterial large subunit ribosomal RNA", at positions 12 to 857 of the family's 2925-position model. The record is from RNAcentral. Lineage: Bacteria; Bacillati; Bacillota; Bacilli; Caryophanales; Staphylococcaceae.
UAAGGGCGCACGGUGGAUGCCUUGGCACUAGAAGCCGAUGAAGGACGUUACUAACGACGAUAUGCUUUGGGGAGCUGUAAGUAAGCUUUGAUCCAGAGAUUUCCGAAUGGGGAAACCCAGCAUGAGUUAUGUCAUGUUAUCGAUAUGUGAAUACAUAGCAUAUCAGAAGGCACACCCGGAGAACUGAAACAUCUUAGUACCCGGAGGAAGAGAAAGAAAAUUCGAUUCCCUUAGUAGCGGCGAGCGAAACGGGAAGAGCCCAAACCAACAAGCUUGCUUGUUGGGGUUGUAGGACACUCUAUACGGAGUUACAAAGGACGACAUUAGACGAAUCAUCUGGAAAGAUGAAUCAAAGAAGGUAAUAAUCCUGUAGUCGAAAAUGUUGUCUCUCUUGAGUGGAUCCUGAGUACGACGGAGCACGUGAAAUUCCGUCGGAAUCUGGGAGGACCAUCUCCUAAGGCUAAAUACUCUCUAGUGACCGAUAGUGAACCAGUACCGUGAGGGAAAGGUGAAAAGCACCCCGGAAGGGGAGUGAAAUAGAACCUGAAACCGUGUGCUUACAAGUAGUCAGAGCCCGUUAAUGGGUGAUGGCGUGCCUUUUGUAGAAUGAACCGGCGAGUUACGAUUUGAUGCAAGGUUAAGCAGUAAAUGUGGAGCCGUAGCGAAAGCGAGUCUGAAUAGGGCGUUUAGUAUUUGGUCGUAGACCCGAAACCAGGUGAUCUACCCUUGGUCAGGUUGAAGUUCAGGUAACACUGAAUGGAGGACCGAACCGACUUACGUUGAAAAGUGAGCGGAUGAACUGAGGGUAGCGGAGAAAUUCCAAUCGAACCUGGAGAUAGCUGGUUCUC